AAGGAACAUUCCCGGGAAAAUCUAGUGUAAGAGAAUUGCUGGCAGAAAGAAUAACUGCUGGGGUCCAGGCAUGGCAGAGCUUGAUAUUUAUAAAAUAAACCAAAUUAUGAACAACUUAAUGGAAUUAUUUUAAUAUUAACAACUAAUGGUUAUGCCUGUAUUUCUAAUUAGCAUGCUUUUUAUCUCUCACUGUCUGUCAUUAAAUCUACCUGUUCACUCAAACCAAGACCAAGUCUCAUCUAUAAAGUCUUCACAGCCAUGUCUUCCAUGGCAGGCUAUCUCUCAAGUUCUCAGAGUGCAUCUAACAGCCCAUUGUGUACAAUGUAAACAGUUUCUGUGGUAUUGGUAUCUGAUACUUGUACUAUUUGGCAUUUCAAAAGAAUUUUGUAUAUCUUGUUUUUUAAGUGCAAAAGUAUGGUCAUUAAACAUACCCACAUUAUUUUGAUACUAUUGGCAUAAUUUUGGUGGUGUUUAUUGUUAUUGGUGAAUAUUCUUGGUGUUUUACUAUUUCUUUUUUUUUUUUUUGGCUGUGCCUAUGGCAUGCAGAAGAUCCUGGGCAAGGGAUCAAACAUGUGCCACAGCAGUGACACCACCAAAUCCUUAACUUUUAGACUACCAUGGAAAUCCUAUUUAGCAUUUUAAAUAAUGUGGAUAUCUUUGCUUUAUUACUAGAUUAUAAAUUCUUUAAUAAAAAUAAUUCUUUAAAAGAUUUCAAACAUUCAAUGGCUGAACAUUAGAGUGUGAUGGAACAUAAAAGCCGUCUUUGUGAACCUCAUUUUCCGGAACAGAAAAAGCUGAAAAUUAAAUACGGCAUACGGGGUUGUAUAAAAUUUAAGAAGACAUGCAGUGAUUGAGAGUAGAGUUCAUAUUUGAGUUUGAAGCUUUUUAUCAAUAAAAUAAUAGGUCAUAUGGUAUUCUGCUAAUUCAGUCAGCAACUGUGGUCAGAAAAUGCCAAAAUAAAAUGAUACCUUAAGCUGUCCUACGAAAAUAGUCCAUAUCAGCAUGAUUACCAGUUAUGGUGACUACAUGGGGAAAAAGAGAGGCUGAUGCUCAGAUCCCAAGACUGUCUGUGAAUCCCUGACCCACAUCUUGCAGCAUCUUCAGCUACUUCUAAAAUGACCCUUAGGACAUAUGCGCACAGAGCAGAUCAGACAAUUUCUCUUAAUUUCUGACCAAGUUUUGAUACCACCUCCAGUGUGGUUUCCAGGUAAACUUUACCGGACCACCUUUCCCGUCGUGGCGCAGCGGUUAACGAAUCCGAUGGGGAACCAUGGGGUUGCGGGUUCGAUCCCUGGCCUUGCUCAGUGGGUUAAGGAUCCAGUGUUGCCGUGGGCUGUGGUGUAGGUUGCAGACGCGGCUCGGAUCCUGCAUUGCUGUGGCUGUGGCGUAGGCCGGUGGCUACAGCUCUGACUGGACCCCUAGCCUGGGAACCUCCAUAUGCCGUGGGAUUGGUCCUAGAAAAGGCAAAAAGACAAAAG
This 1478-nucleotide long non-coding RNA is filed under the name Sus scrofa (pig). RNAcentral's name for it is "lncRNA (ENSSSCG00000048540.1)". The record is from RNAcentral. Lineage: Eukaryota; Metazoa; Chordata; Mammalia; Artiodactyla; Suidae.